GACGAACGCUGGCGGCGUGCUUAACACAUGCAAGUCGAACGAAGAGCGAUGGAAGCUUGCUUCUAUCAAUCUUAGUGGCGAACGGGUGAGUAACGCGUAAUCAACCUGCCCUUCAGAGGGGGACAACAGUUGGAAACGACUGCUAAUACCGCAUACGAUCUAAUCUCGGCAUCGAGGAUAGAUGAAAGGUGGCCUCUACAUGUAAGCUAUCACUGAAGGAGGGGAUUGCGUCUGAUUAGCUAGUUGGAGGGGUAACGGCCCACCAAGGCGAUGAUCAGUAGCCGGUCUGAGAGGAUGAACGGCCACAUUGGGACUGAGACACGGCCCAGACUCCUACGGGAGGCAGCAGUGGGGAAUCCUCCGCAAUGGACGAAAGUCUGACGGAGCAACGCCGCGUGAGUGAUGACGGCCUUCGGGUUGUAAAGCUCUGUUAAUCGGGACGAAAGGCCUUCUUGCGAAUAGUGAGAAGGAUUGACGGUACCGGUAUAGAAAGCCACGGCUAACUACGUG
Molecule: ribosomal RNA, 510 nt
Filed under: uncultured bacterium
Lineage: Bacteria
Description: partial 16S ribosomal RNA
Rfam family: Bacterial small subunit ribosomal RNA
Source: RNAcentral